AUUGAACGCUGGCGGCAGGCCUAACACAUGCAAGUCGAGCGAGCGGCGGACGGGUGAGUAAUGUAUGGGGACUGCCCGAUAGAGGGGGAUAACUACUGGAAACGGUAGCUAAUACCGCAUACUAUCGGAUAACCCAUAUGGGAUUAGCUAGUAGGUGAGGUAAUGGCUCACCUAGGCGACGAUCCCUAGCUGAUCUGAGAGGAUGAUAAGAGACACUGGGACGGAGACACGGCCCAGACACAGAGGGAGGCAGCAGGGGGGAAUAUUGGACAGAGGGAGACAGCCUGAGGCAGCCAAGCAGCGUGUAUGAAGAAGGACGUAGGGUUGUAAAGUACUUCCAGUCGGGAAGCGUUACCGGCAGAAGAAGCUCCGGCUAACUCAGUGCCAGCAGCCGCGGUAAUAC
RNAcentral lists this ribosomal RNA (403 nucleotides) under uncultured bacterium. RNAcentral describes it as "partial 16S ribosomal RNA". It matches the Rfam family "Bacterial small subunit ribosomal RNA", at positions 29 to 526 of the family's 1533-position model. The record is from RNAcentral.